UGCAAGUCGAACGGUAACAGGAAGAAGCUUGCUUCUUUGCUGACGAGUGGCGGACGGGUGAGUAAUGUCUGGGAAACUGCCUGAUGGAGGGGGAUAACUACUGGAAACGGUAGCUAAUACCGCAUAACGUCGCAAGACCAAAGAGGGGGACCUUCGGGCCUCUUGCCAUCGGAUGUGCCCAGAUGGGAUUAGCUAGUAGGUGGGGUAACGGCUCACCUAGGCGACGAUCCCUAGCUGGUCUGAGAGGAUGACCAGCCACACUGGAACUGAGACACGGUCCAGACUCCUACGGGAGGCAGCAGUGGGGAAUAUUGCACAAUGGGCGCAAGCCUGAUGCAGCCAUGCCGCGUGUAUGAAGAAGGCCUUCGGGUUGUAAAGUACUUUCAGCGGGGAGGAAGGGAGUAAAGUUAAUACCUUUACUCAUUGACGUUACCCGCAGAAGAAGCACCGGCUAACUCCGUGCCAGCAGCCGCGGUAAUACGGAGGGUGCAAGCGUUAAUCGGAAUUACUGGGCGUAAAGCGCACGCAGGCGGUUUGUUAAGUCAGAUGUGAAAUCCCCGGGCUCAACCUGGGAACUGCAUCUGAUACUGGCAAGCUUGAGUCUCGUAGAGGGGGGUAGAAUUCCAGGUGUAGCGGUGAAAUGCGUA
Molecule: ribosomal RNA, 647 nt
Filed under: uncultured bacterium
Lineage: Bacteria
Description: bacterial SSU rRNA
Rfam family: Bacterial small subunit ribosomal RNA
Source: RNAcentral